This 54-nucleotide small RNA is filed under the name Arabidopsis thaliana (thale cress). RNAcentral describes it as "ATSL055440". The record is from RNAcentral. Lineage: Eukaryota; Viridiplantae; Streptophyta; Magnoliopsida; Brassicales; Brassicaceae.
AUAUAUAUUGGGAACAAUGAGUAAUUGAAAAAAAAAAACACAAAAAACCAAAAC